This 247-nucleotide ribosomal RNA is filed under the name uncultured bacterium. Its description in RNAcentral is "partial 16S ribosomal RNA". It matches the Rfam family "Bacterial small subunit ribosomal RNA", at positions 524 to 769 of the family's 1533-position model. The record is from RNAcentral.
UACGUAGGGGGCAAGCGUUGUCCGGAAUUAUUGGGCGUAAAGAGCGUGUAGGCGGUUCGGUAAGUCGGCUGUGAAAGUCCAGGGCUCAACCCUCGAAUGCCGGUGGAUACUGUCGGGCUAGAGUGCGGAAGAGGCGAGUGGAAUUCCUGGUGUAGGCGGUGAAAUGCGCAGAUAUCAGGAGGAACACCAAUUGCGAAGGCAGCUCGCUGGGACGUUACUGACGCUGAGACGCGAAAGCGUGGGGAGC